CGAGAAAACCUCCAGACCAUAGAGUUCAGUUCCUAUCUGGGCCUCCCAUACACCACUUCCUCUUGUCGGCCUAAAACCGCGCCUGCGCACGUUCCAUCUUCCUCUUGGGCUCGGAUCUAGGUUGUGUUAACAUGGCGAAACGCACCAAGAAGGUCGGAAUCGUGGGCAAGUACGGGACCCGUUAUGGUGCCUCCCUCAGAAAAAUGGUGAAGAAAAUUGAAAUCAGCCAGCACGCCAAGUAUACCUGCUCCUUCUGUGGCAAAACCAAGAUGAAGAGAAGAGCUGUGGGCAUUUGGCAUUGUGGUUCCUGCAUGAAAACAGUAGCUGGUGGUGCCUGGACCUACAACACCACCUCUGCUGUCACAGUCAAGUCCGCCAUCAGAAGACUGAAGGAACUGAAGGACCAGUAGAAGCGCCACCAUCGAUAACAUUGCUAGCCUGAGAGCUCCAAUGAACCCCAUCCUGAUCACCUGAAUCCCCUCUUGAAUCCUGACAUGCUUUAACACUGCUAGGUCAGCAAGAACGAGUGAGAGGGAGAGAGAGAAGAUCAAAGAGAAGAUGGAGGCCUCCUUCUUCCACUCAGCAAGCUGUCUGGAGUGUGCUCUACCAACUUUGGCAAAAUUAUAAAGGAGUUUUCUAUGG
Capra hircus (goat) is the source of this 642-nucleotide long non-coding RNA. RefSeq annotates it as ribosomal protein L37a. Lineage: Eukaryota; Metazoa; Chordata; Mammalia; Artiodactyla; Bovidae. The transcript is spliced from 5 exons. The record is from RefSeq and is a predicted model, not a curated record.